This 72-nucleotide transfer RNA is filed under the name Diaphorina citri (Asian citrus psyllid). It matches the Rfam family "tRNA". From Rfam's summary of the family: Transfer RNA (tRNA) molecules are approximately 80 nucleotides in length. Their secondary structure includes four short double-helical elements and three loops (D, anti-codon, and T loops). Lineage: Eukaryota; Metazoa; Arthropoda; Insecta; Hemiptera; Psyllidae. The record is from Rfam by way of RNAcentral.
GCUCCCAUGGCGUAGUGGUCACUGCGCUCGCUUUGCACGCGGGAGAAACGGGUUCGAUUCCCGGCGGGGUCA